CCAGAUCCCAUCGAAGAGUACCACACCACCGUACCUUUUCUCUCGUACGUCCGCGUACAGUCGUCGUUUCCUUUCCUCCCUCCGUCAGCUUCGCGUGUGAUCCAUCUUCACUGCACUGGACGAUCCUACUGUUUGAGACGCAAAGGGUACGGUGGCAACGAUGAAGACGCCCAAACCUCUGGCCGUGUUCCUCGUGGUGUUCGUCGCGCUGGCUGCCGCGCCGGCCGUCGUCGACGCGGGCUGGUCCAGGGGCACGGCCACGUUCUACGGCGGCAGCGACGCCUCGGGCACAAUGGGAGGCGCGUGCGGGUACGGCAACCUGUACGCGACGGGGUACGGGCAGUACACGGCGGCGCUGAGCCAGGUGCUGUACAACGGCGGCGCGUCGUGCGGGCAGUGCUACCAGGUGUCGUGCGACGCGCAGACGGACGCGCGGUGGUGCCGGCCGGGCGGCGGCGCCGUCACCGUCACGGCCACCAACCUGUGCCCGCCAAACUACGCCUACUCCGGCGGCACCGGGGGCUGGUGCAACCCGCCGCGGCCGCACUUCGACAUGUCCCAGCCGGCGUGGCUCCAGAUCGGCGUCUACCAGGGCGGCAUCAUCCCGGUGCUGUACCAGCGCGUGCCGUGCGCCAAGCAGGGCGGCGUGCGCUUCACCAUCACCGGGUUCAACCACUACGAGCUGGUGCUCAUCUCCAACGUCGGCGGCAGCGGCUCCGUCGACAGCGCCUGGGUCCAGGGCUCCAGCACCAACCGGGUGCCCAUGAGCAGGAACUGGGGCGCCAACUGGCAGUCGCUCGCCGGGAUCGCCGGCCAGGCGCUCACCUUCGGCGUCACGUCCAGCGGCGGGCAGACCAUCGUCUUCCAGAACGUCGUGCCGCCCAACUGGGUGUUCGGCAUGUCGUUCACAAGCAACUUGCAGUUCUCCUACUGACCACAGGUGCCUUAGCUUGUGUAGGAGCGAGCCCAU
RNAcentral lists this unclassified non-coding RNA (970 nucleotides) under Zea mays. Its description in RNAcentral is "misc RNA Zm00001eb047340". The record is from RNAcentral. Lineage: Eukaryota; Viridiplantae; Streptophyta; Magnoliopsida; Poales; Poaceae.